Lepus europaeus (European hare) is the source of this 1416-nucleotide long non-coding RNA. RefSeq lists it as uncharacterized. The transcript is spliced from 3 exons. Lineage: Eukaryota; Metazoa; Chordata; Mammalia; Lagomorpha; Leporidae. The record is from RefSeq and is a predicted model, not a curated record.
UGGCUGGUGGGGAGGGGGGUGUUUUUUUUCAUUUUCACUCAAGCAGAAAAAAGCCUGAAACCAGCAAAAAAAAAGAAAAAGUCCCCGAGUUGGCGCCUCUGGGCCCCGUGCGGCGGUGAUGCGCUUCCGCGGAGCUCAGACUAAGGCUGACGUAGGUGACUGAAACCUGGGGAAGUGAAACCACCGGUGAGGGGAGGCUACAGUAUGGUGUCGAUGCCACGAUGGAUCGCUAGAGCAGUGGCUCGGAGUAGGGAACCUAGAAAGACAGGCACACUGUGUGCCAGAGGUGUGGCCACAGGUCGGCGUGGGAAAGAACGGACUGCGCAACAAGCAUGCUGGACCUGGAAGAAAUGUCAACAGGUGUGCCAAUGGAACCUGUGCAGGAAUGUUCCUGGUGUCACUGCGCACGACAGCCACACGAUGGAAACCACCCAAGUGUUUGCCAGCUGAGACCGCUCAGUCCGCCCAGCGGAGUUUUACUCAGCAUCAAAAGGAAAGAAACGGGCCGGUGCUGUGGCAUAGCGGCAUCCAUAUGGGUGCUGGUUCUAGCUCCAGCUGCUCCACUUCCUAUCUAGCUCCCACCCUGCUAGUGUGCCUGAGAAAACAGUGGCCCAAGUGCUUGGGUCCCUGCACCCACGUGAGAGACCCGAAAGAAGCUCCUGGCUCCCGGCUCCUCACUCUUGGCUUCAGCCUGGCCCAGCUCCAGCCAUUGCAGCCAUCAGGGGGAGUGAACCAGCAAUUGGAAGACUCUGUGUAUGUGUGUGUGUGUGUGUGUCUGCCUCUGCCUCUCUAACUCUGCCUUUCAAAUAAAUUAAAUGAAUCUUUUUUUAAAAAAAGGAAAGAAAUACUAGUUCAUACUGCAGCAUAGGUGAAACUUGAAACCGUGCUAAACAAGAGAAGCCAGACACAAAAGCUUCCUUUAUUCCAUUUUUACAAAACAUCCCAAAUAGGCAAAUUCAUGGAGACCAAAAGCAGAGAAGUGGUUGCCAGGGACUUGGCGGGGCCGGGGGGAGGCAGAGAAGAGUAGGGAGGGAUUGCCCUCAAUGGGUACAAGGCUUACUUUUGAGGGGUGGAUAGAUAGUGGUGUUGGUUACACAAUAUCGUGAGUGUUCUAAAUGCCACUGGAUCGUGCCCCUUAAAAAAGGCUCAAUCCAGGGGCCGGCGCUGUGGCAUGGUGGGUAAAGCCGCCUCCUGCAGUGCCGAUGCAGGCAUCCUGUACAGGCGCCCAUUCUUGUCCCAGUUGCUCCACUUUCAAUUCAGCUCCCUGCUAAUGGCCUGGGAAAAUCAGUGGACAAUGGCCAAGGAUGAAGCUCCUGGCUCCUGGCUUCGGAUCAGCUCAGCUCCAGCCAUUGCGGCCAUCUGGGGAGUGAACCAGUGGAUGGAAGAUCUCUCUGUUUCUCUCUCUCUCUCUGUAAC